GAAUCUCUUAUAGCCAACAACACAGAGAUUCAAGAUAAUGAGGCUGCUACAAUUACAAUGCUUCAACAUUUCAUCUAUCAAGAUCGACUGUUUCCUGCACUGGAUCGCAUGUACUCCAAACAAGAAAAGA
Molecule: non-coding RNA, 130 nt
Filed under: uncultured Fragilariaceae
Lineage: Eukaryota; Bacillariophyta; Fragilariophyceae; Fragilariales; Fragilariaceae
Source: RNAcentral